Molecule: ribosomal RNA, 513 nt
Filed under: uncultured microorganism
Description: bacterial SSU rRNA
Rfam family: Bacterial small subunit ribosomal RNA
Source: RNAcentral
GAGUUUGAUCCUGGCUCAGGAUGAACGCUGGCGGCGUGCCUAAUACAUGCAAGUCGAACGAACAGAUAAGGAGCUUGCUCCUUUGACGUUAGCGGCGGACGGGUGAGUAACACGUGGGUAACCUACCUAUAAGACUGGAAUAACUCCCGGGAAACCGGGGCUAAUGCCGGAUAACAUGUUGAACCGCAUGGUUCUACAGUGAAAGACGGUCUUGCUGUCACUUAUAGAUGGACCCGCGCCGUAUUAGCUAGUUGGUGGGGUAACGGCCUACCAAGGCGACGAUACGUAGCCGACCUGAGAGGGUGAUCGGCCACACUGGAACUGAGACACGGUCCAGACUCCUACGGGAGGCAGGCAGUAGGGAAUCUUCCGCAAUGGGCGAAAGCCUGACGGAGCAACGCCGCGUGAGUGAUGAAGGUCUUCGGAUCGUAAAGCUCUGUUGUUAGGGAAGAACAAAUGUGUAAGUAACUGUGCAUAUCUUGACGGUACCUAACCAGAAAGCCACGGCUAACU